RNAcentral lists this long non-coding RNA (575 nucleotides) under Equus asinus (donkey). RNAcentral's name for it is "lncRNA (ENSEASG00005031924.1)". The record is from RNAcentral. Lineage: Eukaryota; Metazoa; Chordata; Mammalia; Perissodactyla; Equidae.
GUGGGAAGGGAGGGGUGAAAGGUCGCCGGUCCCCGGCAACACGGCUCAGGCAAACGAGCAUCGAGGAGGCAUUGGGAUGAAAGGCAGAUGACAGUCUGCUGAAUGAAGAAGAGAAUGACGUUUAGUUUGGGAAUAAAAGUUCAUCCGGAGUAUGAAAAACACGUUUGCCUCAAGUCAGGGAGGAAGAUUCACUGAGAGCUGAAAGAAAGGGAAAGCAGGUGCUCCUGAGGAGCUUGAAGAUUCCACCCCCUCUACACCUGGCUCUGAUAUACCUGAUAAGGGCCUUGGAUAUGAGCUGAUACCAUAAAGGAAUGGGAAUUUGCAGAGGUCUGGGAAGGUGGUACAUAUCUUAUCUCUGGAAAGAGGUACUUUGGUUUACCCCUGCUUAAAAACAACAGGCAAGGGGCCAGCCCCUUGGCUAAGUUUCUACUCUCCGCUUUGGCAGCCCAGGGUUCACCAGUUCGGAUCCUGGGUGCAGACCUACACACCACUCAUCAAGCCAUGCUGUGGCAGCAUCCCACAUGGAAGAACUAGAAUGACUUACAACUAGGAUAUACGCCUAUGUACUGGGGCUC